RNAcentral lists this ribosomal RNA (351 nucleotides) under Purpuricenus temminckii. Its description in RNAcentral is "SSU rRNA". It matches the Rfam family "Eukaryotic small subunit ribosomal RNA", at positions 1175 to 1489 of the family's 1831-position model. The record is from RNAcentral. Lineage: Eukaryota; Metazoa; Arthropoda; Insecta; Coleoptera; Cerambycidae. RNAcentral also lists the same sequence under 5 other names.
AGUGGAGCCUGCGGCUUAAUUUGACUCAACACGGGAAACCUCACCAGGCCCGGACACCGGAAGGAUUGACAGAUUGAGAGCUCUUUCUUGAUUCGGUGGGUGGUGGUGCAUGGCCGUUCUUAGUUGGUGGAGCGAUUUGUCUGGUUAAUUCCGAUAACGAACGAGACUCUAGCCUGCUAACUAGGCGUAUUUCGACAUCCCAAAGGCCCGCCGGUUUGGGGUUUCGGCUCCUUUCCGCGCGCGGUUUUUACUGUCGGCGUACAAACAAUUCUUCUUAGAGGGACAGGCGGCAUCUAGCCGCACGAGAUUGAGCAAUAACAGGUCUGUGAUGCCCUUAGAUGUUCUGGGCCG